This 207-nucleotide ribosomal RNA is filed under the name uncultured bacterium. Its description in RNAcentral is "partial 16S ribosomal RNA". It matches the Rfam family "Bacterial small subunit ribosomal RNA", at positions 568 to 774 of the family's 1533-position model. The record is from RNAcentral.
CGCGUAGGCGGACACUUAAGUCAGGGGUGAAAUCCCGGGGCUCAACCUCGGAACUGCCUUUGAUACUGGGUGUCUUGAGUGUGAGAGAGGUGUGUGGAACUCCGAGUGUAGAGGUGAAAUUCGUAGAUAUUCGGAGGAACACCAGUGGCGAAGGCGGCUUACUGGUCCAUUACUGACGCUGAGGUGCGAAAGCGUGGGGAGCAAACA